Molecule: ribosomal RNA, 707 nt
Filed under: Exiguobacterium sp. B2(2022)
Lineage: Bacteria; Bacillati; Bacillota; Bacilli; Caryophanales
Description: partial 23S ribosomal RNA
Rfam family: Bacterial large subunit ribosomal RNA
Source: RNAcentral
GAAAGGCGUAGGCGAUGGACAACAGGUCGAUAUUCCUGUACCGCCGUACCACCGUUCGAACGAUGGGGGGACGCAGAAGGAUAAGGUGACCGUGCGACUGGAAGUGCACGGACAAGCAGCGAGGCCGUCGGGUUGGCAAAUCCGCCCGGCAUACAAGGUUGAGCUGUGACGUGGAGCCCGUAGGGCGAAGCACCGGAUUUCACGCUGCCAAGAAAAGCCUCUAGUGAGGAGGUCGGCGCCAGUACCGCAAACCGACACAGGUAGGCGAGAUGAGAAUUCUAAGACGCGCGGGAUAACUCUCGUUAAGGAACUCGGCAAAAUGGUCCCGUAACUUCGGGAGAAGGGACGCUUAUGGCAACAUAAGCCGCAGUGAAUAGGCCCAAACGACUGUUUAGCAAAAACACAGGUCUCUGCUAAAUCGCAAGAUGAAGUAUAGGGGCUGACGCCUGCCCGGUGCUGGAAGGUUAAGGGGAUGUGUCAUCGCAAGAGAAGCACUGAACCGAAGCCCCAGUAAACGGCGGCCGUAACUAUAACGGUCCUAAGGUAGCGAAAUUCCUUGUCGGGUAAGUUCCGACCCGCACGAAAGGCGUAACGAUUUGGGCACUGUCUCAACGAGAGACCCGGUGAAAUCAUAGUACCUGUGAAGAUGCAGGUUACCCGCGACAGGACGGAAAGACCCCAUGGAGCUUUACUACAGCCUGAUAUUG